GAUGAAUGCUGGCGGUGCGCCUAAUACAUGCAAGUCGAGCGUGAUUAUUACUUAAGUUUACUUGGUUUAUGAAAGCGGCGGACGAGCGAGUAACACGUAAGAAAUUCGCCCCGUACUCAGGGAUAACCUGGCGAAAGUCAGGCUAAUACCGGAUGGUCCCGAAAGGGUAAAGAUUUAUCGGUACGGGAGAUGCUUGCGGCCUAUCAGCUAGUUGGUGAGGUAACUGCUCACCAAGGCUAUGACGGGUAACUGGUCUGAGAGGAUGAUCAGUCGCGAUGGAACUGAGACACGGUCCAU
This 297-nucleotide ribosomal RNA is filed under the name uncultured bacterium. RNAcentral describes it as "partial 16S ribosomal RNA". It matches the Rfam family "Bacterial small subunit ribosomal RNA", at positions 28 to 334 of the family's 1533-position model. The record is from RNAcentral.